RNAcentral lists this long non-coding RNA (216 nucleotides) under Manihot esculenta (cassava). RNAcentral describes it as "long non-coding RNA (MESC_LNC001142)". The record is from RNAcentral. Lineage: Eukaryota; Viridiplantae; Streptophyta; Magnoliopsida; Malpighiales; Euphorbiaceae.
AAGAAUUAGAGAGAUCCAAUCCUAGCUACUCCAAACGCAUGAAGAUGAUGCUAGAUUAUACAAUUCCUUAGUUUUUAUACCAAGUGUUCUUAGGUCAGAAUAUUUCCAGCAAUUACGGACUAACAAAUAUCCCAACUAACAAUCAAUUAACUUUGCAAUCAAGAAUCAAGUGGCCAAUUUGAUCAAAACAACAAAGCAAUCUUAGAUUUAAGCACA